Molecule: ribosomal RNA, 253 nt
Filed under: uncultured bacterium
Lineage: Bacteria
Description: partial 16S ribosomal RNA
Rfam family: Bacterial small subunit ribosomal RNA
Source: RNAcentral
UACGUAGGGCGCAAGCGUUAUCCGGAAUUAUUGGGCGUAAAGAGCGUGUAGGCGGCCGUACAGGUCAGCUGUGAAAACUCGAGGCUCAACCUCGAGACGUCGGUUGAAACCGUACGGCUAGAGUCCGGAAGAGGAGAGUGGAAUUCCCGGUGUAGCGGUGAAAUGCGCAGAUAUCGGGAAGAACACCCGUGGCGAAGGCGGCUCUCUGGGACGGUACUGACGCUGAGACGCGAAAGCGUGGGGAGCGAAAAGG